RNAcentral lists this ribosomal RNA (245 nucleotides) under uncultured bacterium. Its description in RNAcentral is "partial 16S ribosomal RNA". It matches the Rfam family "Bacterial small subunit ribosomal RNA", at positions 524 to 768 of the family's 1533-position model. The record is from RNAcentral.
UACGUAGGGGGCGAGCGUUGUCCGAAGUUACUGGGCGUAAAGCGCGCGUAGGCGGCGCACUAAGUGGCCGGUGAAAUCCCCGGGCUCAACCCGGGGUAGUCUGGUCAUACUGGUGUGCUGGAGUGUGGGAGAGGAGAGUGGAACUCCUGGUGUAGCGGUGAUAUGCGUAGAGAUCAGGAAGAACACCCGUGGCGAAGGCGGCUCUCUGGACCACAACUGACGCUGAGGCGCGAAAGCCAGGGGAG